Molecule: long non-coding RNA, 568 nt
Organism: Lemur catta (Ring-tailed lemur)
Lineage: Eukaryota; Metazoa; Chordata; Mammalia; Primates; Lemuridae
Exons: 4
Source: RefSeq, a predicted model, not a curated record
ACGGUGCCCGCAAAUGCCACGCGACUAGACGGCACUUUGUGUGUGCGCUACAGUAUCCGUCAGUGGCUAUGUUACUUCAGGAGAUUGGGUAAAAAGCGGUUUAAUAACGAUGGUGAUUUUGUUUCUAGGUGUCUCGGAGGCCUGAGCUGCGCAUUUCCCUCCUGAAACUCCGGGGAGAAUCCCCCUCCCCGCCGCCUCCCGCCGCCCGCGCCCCGUCAGCGUCGUGUGUUCCCGUCACUGGGAACGGCCUUUCGGAUCUCACAGAAGCAUGACUGAACCAAUGUUUAACUUUUACCCCUAAGAGAGGGCCAAUCCAGAAAGAACCUUUGACUUGGUAUUGAAAGUGAAAUGUCAUGCCUCUGAAAAUGAAGAUCCUGUGGUUUUGUGGAAAUUCCCAGAGGACUUUGGAGACCAGCCGAGAAACCUACAAUGCGCUUACUAAUUGGUUAACAGAUGCCAGAACGCUAGCGAGUCAGAACAUUGUGAUCAUCCUCUGUGGAAACAAGAAGGACCUGGAUGCAGAUCGCGAAGUUACGUUCAUAGAAGCCUCCAGAUUUGCUCAAGAAAA